GCCCGUGUGGCUCAGAGGGUAGAGCGUUGGCCUGCAGACUGAAGGGUCCCGGGUUCGAUUCCAGCCAAGGGCA
This 73-nucleotide transfer RNA is filed under the name Myotis brandtii (Brandt's bat). It matches the Rfam family "tRNA". Rfam says of the family: Transfer RNA (tRNA) molecules are approximately 80 nucleotides in length. Their secondary structure includes four short double-helical elements and three loops (D, anti-codon, and T loops). Further hydrogen bonds mediate the characteristic L-shaped molecular structure. tRNAs have two regions of fundamental functional importance: the anti-codon, which is responsible for specific mRNA codon recognition, and the 3' end, to which the tRNAs corresponding amino acid is attached (by aminoacyl-tRNA synthetases). tRNAs cope with the degeneracy of the genetic code in two manners: having more than one tRNA (with a specific anti-codon) for a particular amino acid; and 'wobble' base-pairing, i.e. permitting non-standard base-pairing at the 3rd anti-codon position. The record is from Rfam by way of RNAcentral. Lineage: Eukaryota; Metazoa; Chordata; Mammalia; Chiroptera; Vespertilionidae.